AUACGUAGGGAGCGAGCGUUGUCCGGAAUUACUGGGCGUAAAGGGCGCGUAGGCGGCGCUUCAAGUCGUCUGUCAAAUGGGAGGGCUUAACCCUUUUUCGCAGACGAAACUGGAGAGCUUGAGAAGCAGAGAGGCAAACAGAAUUCCUGGUGUAGCGGUGAAAUGCGUAGAUAUCAGGAAGAAUACCAGUGGCGAAGGCGGUUUGCUGGCUGCAUACUGACGCUGAAGCGCGAAAGCCAGGGGAGCAAACGGGAUUAGAUACCCCGGUAGUCCUGGCAGUAAACGAUGUAUGCUGGGUGUGAGGCUAGCGAUAGUUUCGUGCCGAAGUUAACGCGAUAAGCAUACCGCCUGGGGAGUACGGUCGCAAGAUUGAAACUCAAAGGAAUUGACGGGG
This 394-nucleotide ribosomal RNA is filed under the name uncultured bacterium. RNAcentral describes it as "partial 16S ribosomal RNA". It matches the Rfam family "Bacterial small subunit ribosomal RNA", at positions 523 to 918 of the family's 1533-position model. The record is from RNAcentral.